UGAGGAAUAUUGGUCAAUGGGCGCAAGCCUGAACCAGCCAAGUAGCGUGAAGGAUGACUGCCCUAUGGGUUGUAAACUUCUUUUAUGCGGGAAUAACCUCGACCAUGUAUGGUCGUUUGCAUGUACCGCAAGAAAAAGCAUCGGCUAAUUCCGUGCCAGCAGCCGCGGUAAUACGGAAGAUGCGAGCGUUAUCCGGAUUUAUUGGGUUUAAAGGGUGCGCAGGCGGCGCGCCAAGUCAGCGGUCAAAGUUCCGGGCUCAACCCGGUGUCGCCGUUGAAACUGGCGUGCUCGAGUGCGUGCGAGGAAGGCGGAAUGCGUUGUGUAGCGGUGAAAUGCAUAGAUAUGACGCAGAACUCCGAUUGCGAAGGCAGCUUUCCAGCGCGCUACUGA
This 390-nucleotide ribosomal RNA is filed under the name uncultured Barnesiella sp. RNAcentral describes it as "bacterial SSU rRNA". It matches the Rfam family "Bacterial small subunit ribosomal RNA", at positions 355 to 743 of the family's 1533-position model. Lineage: Bacteria; Pseudomonadati; Bacteroidota; Bacteroidia; Bacteroidales; Barnesiellaceae. The record is from RNAcentral.